Molecule: ribosomal RNA, 254 nt
Filed under: uncultured bacterium
Lineage: Bacteria
Description: partial 16S ribosomal RNA
Rfam family: Bacterial small subunit ribosomal RNA
Source: RNAcentral
UACGUAGGGUGCGAGCGUUAAUCGGAAUUACUGGGCGUAAAGCGUGCGCAGGCGGUUGUGCAAGACAGAUGUGAAAUCCCCGGGCUUAACCUGGGAAUUGCAUUUGUGACUGCACGGCUAGAGUGUGUCAGAGGGGGGGUAGAAUUCCACGUGUAGCAGUGAAAUGCGUAGAUAUGUGGAGGAAUACCGAUGGCGAAGGCAGCCUCCUGGGCCAACACUGACGCUCAUGCACGAAAGCGUGGGGAGCAAACAGG